AUAAUCAUAGGUGAUGUCCCUCCCAUAGCUCCUGCCUAUCCUCCUUCUAACGGAGAUGAUCCAGAUAAUUGGUAUUCACCUCCUCCUGAACCACUAUGUCCUCUUCCUCCUCCACCGCCGCCUCCUGCAGAGUCACCAUGUCCCCCUCCCAUGCCUCCAUCCCCACCGCCCUCACCACCACCUCCACCACCACCCUCACCCUCACCCCCACCACCACCACCACCACCUAAAGUUCGUCCCAAACACUCACCACCCCCACCAUCCACCCCAGGUUAUCUUACCGCAGAACUAAGAAAAGUCAUAAAAGUCAUUCAAAAUUUCAAAAAGACAAUAACUAGCGACCCCUUUGGCGUAACAAAAACAUGGGUAGGCAACGACAUUUGCAGAAAGUACGUCGGAUUCACUUGCUACAAAAACCACGUUGUUGCCAUCGACUUCAAUGGUUUCCGCUUCAACGGCAGUCAACUGUCCUUGAGGAAGUUCAUUGAAGAAAUCAAGACUUUAGUCAUCAUCCAUCUCAACUCCAACAACUUCACUGGCUCGGUACCUGAAAUAUCAACCAAAACGCACCCUAAACUUUUCGAACUCGAUUUGAGUAAUAACA
Molecule: long non-coding RNA, 604 nt
Filed under: Nicotiana tabacum (common tobacco)
Lineage: Eukaryota; Viridiplantae; Streptophyta; Magnoliopsida; Solanales; Solanaceae
Description: long non-coding RNA (NTAB_LNC015319)
Source: RNAcentral